This 690-nucleotide long non-coding RNA is filed under the name Oryzias javanicus (javanese ricefish). Its description in RNAcentral is "lncRNA (ENSOJAG00000004307.1)". Lineage: Eukaryota; Metazoa; Chordata; Actinopteri; Beloniformes; Adrianichthyidae. The record is from RNAcentral.
CAUCAGUAGUUGACACCGGAAGACGGAGCCCAAGAGCGAAUCAGGAGAACGUGAGCGAGCGCGCGGCAGCUAUUGACCGUUUUAAUGUUUACUUUCCAGUCUUUGUGGGUGGUUCAUUUUUGUCCGUGGGGGGACAGAGACCGCCUCACAGGUCUCUGGUAUCUCGACGGCCCAUCUGUCAUCAGCGGUCAGCCCAGUUCCACGCUGCGCGCCGGGAACAUCAGGCGUGGGCCGGCCGGCCUGCCAGCUGGCUUCUUGACUUGGACUCCUCCAUUUAUCUCAAGGCAAGUGCGUGGAUCUGAGUUUCCGACAAUCUGGUGUCUUGGCUUUCCAUUCUGCAGGAAUGCUGAAUAUCCGUUUGUGGGGGAAGCUGAAAGAUUAAUGGAUUCUGUGGGCAGCUAAAUGAUGCAACUGUGUGAAAAUCUGGCCUGACUGCACCGUUUUCUUUCAUGCCAAGACUCCAGAAAUAUGUGUCUAAAAUGUCAGCUGAAAUAAAGUCACCAGCAUGUUAUGCAUUAGGAUUUCUUGUCACUUUUAGCUGCAUGCAGCAAUUUUUACAUCCCCCAAAAAAUGGCAAAGAAAAAAGUGAAAGCAAUGAAGGUUCAUCAAACGUGACGCAUUUGGAGCAAUAAAAGAAAUAUUUCAGAAAUAUUAAUGAUUUCAAUCUGUGGGCGCUGUCAAACUUACAAC